Molecule: ribosomal RNA, 796 nt
Filed under: Chryseobacterium sp. W1_6
Lineage: Bacteria; Pseudomonadati; Bacteroidota; Flavobacteriia; Flavobacteriales; Weeksellaceae
Description: bacterial SSU rRNA
Rfam family: Bacterial small subunit ribosomal RNA
Source: RNAcentral
UGCAAGUCUUGAGUGUUGUUGAAGUAGCUGGAAUAAGUAGUGUAGCGGUGAAAUGCAUAGAUAUUACUUAGAACACCAAUUGCGAAGGCAGGUUACUAAGCAACAACUGACGCUGAUGGACGAAAGCGUGGGGAGCGAACAGGAUUAGAUACCCUGGUAGUCCACGCCGUAAACGAUGCUAACUCGUUUUUGGGGUGCAAGCUUCAGAGACUAAGCGAAAGUGAUAAGUUAGCCACCUGGGGAGUACGAACGCAAGUUUGAAACUCAAAGGAAUUGACGGGGGCCCGCACAAGCGGUGGAUUAUGUGGUUUAAUUCGAUGAUACGCGAGGAACCUUACCAAGGCUUAAAUGGGAAAUGACAGGUUUAGAAAUAGACUUUUCUUCGGACAUUUUUCAAGGUGCUGCAUGGUUGUCGUCAGCUCGUGCCGUGAGGUGUUAGGUUAAGUCCUGCAACGAGCGCAACCCCUGUCACUAGUUGCCAUCAUUAAGUUGGGGACUCUAGUGAGACUGCCUACGCAAGUAGAGAGGAAGGUGGGGAUGACGUCAAAUCAUCACGGCCCUUACGCCUUGGGCCACACACGUAAUACAAUGGCCGGUACAGAGGGCAGCUACACAGCGAUGUGAUGCAAAUCUCGAAAGCCGGUCUCAGUUCGGAUUGGAGUCUGCAACUCGACUCUAUGAAGCUGGAAUCGCUAGUAAUCGCGCAUCAGCCAUGGCGCGGUGAAUACGUUCCCGGGCCUUGUACACACCGCCCGUCAAGCCAUGGAAGUCUGGGGUACCUGAAGUCGGUGACCGU